AGGAAGCCCAUGGUGAACGAUCAUGCCAAUAUUGGUGCUUGUGUCACAAAGUGUACGAUUCGGCCUAUUUUGGUCUGUUAUCCACCCUACUAGUGCACGUGCAGAACGCAGUAGCCAAAUACACGUACAUAGGGUGUGAUUUGAUAUUUUGAGGUACUCUAGAAGGUCGAUAAAUCACUGUAGACCAUUCAUUGUGACAGUCAUCUUGUCAUCUAGAAGGUCGAUAAAUCACUGUAGACCAUUCAUUGUGACAAUCAUCUUGUCAUCUAGAAGGUCGAUAAAUCACCGUAGACCAUUCAUUGUGACAGUCAUCUUGUCAUCUAGAAGGUCGAUUAAUCAAUGUAGGCCAUUCAUUGUGACAGUCAUCUUGUCAUCUAGAAGGUCGAUAAAUCACUGUAGGCCAUUCAUUGUGACAGUCAUCUUGUCAUCUUGCAUGAGGAAGAGCAAGUGUUGGUGUACUCUCAAGACAUUCAUUAUUUUCAUAUCAACAUUGAUUGACUUCAAUAUAUUUCCGAAUUGUUUCAAUCGUAAAUUAAAAAUGAUGUUCCCCUACUUUUUUAAAGAGUAUAGUUGAUCAUCUGUCCGUUUGUUCCUUGGUGUAGUACAUGAAGCUCGUCAAAGCUGUAUAAACUAGAACCAUUCCUGAUAUUUA
Haliotis rubra (blacklip abalone) is the source of this 652-nucleotide long non-coding RNA. RefSeq lists it as uncharacterized. NCBI's taxonomy places the organism in Eukaryota, Metazoa, Mollusca, Gastropoda, Lepetellida, Haliotidae. The transcript is spliced from 2 exons. The record is from RefSeq and is a predicted model, not a curated record.